RNAcentral lists this long non-coding RNA (217 nucleotides) under Phascolarctos cinereus (koala). RNAcentral's name for it is "lncRNA (ENSPCIG00000014680.2)". Lineage: Eukaryota; Metazoa; Chordata; Mammalia; Diprotodontia; Phascolarctidae. The record is from RNAcentral.
UUAAUUAAACAUGUGCUUUCUCUUCUAAUUUCAGAUAACUGAAUUGUGUUGAGCACAGAAGGAUCUGAAAAAUAAAAAAAAUUCUUCUCUGAGAGAGCUUCAAACUAUGGAGAGCUUGUUAAUACUCUUUGCCAUAAUUCCUUCUAAUGACAACAGGAAGAGAAACAUUGCCACCAAUCUAUGGAGCAUACUCAAGAAGGUAAUCGUUCUGGAAUAA